This 253-nucleotide ribosomal RNA is filed under the name uncultured bacterium. RNAcentral describes it as "partial 16S ribosomal RNA". It matches the Rfam family "Bacterial small subunit ribosomal RNA", at positions 524 to 776 of the family's 1533-position model. The record is from RNAcentral.
UACAGAGGUCCCAAGCGUUGUUCGGAUUCACUGGGCGUAAAGGGUGCGUAGGUGGUGGGGUAAGUCGGAUGUGAAAUCUCGGAGCUCAACUCCGAAAUGGCAUUGGAAACUGCCCUGCUAGAGGGUCGGAGGGGGGACUGGAAUUCUCGGUGUAGCAGUGAAAUGCGUAGAUAUCGAGAGGAACACCAGUGGCGAAGGCGAGUCCCUGGACGACUCCUGACACUGAGGCACGAAAGCUAGGGGAGCAAACAGG